RNAcentral lists this ribosomal RNA (254 nucleotides) under uncultured bacterium. Its description in RNAcentral is "partial 16S ribosomal RNA". It matches the Rfam family "Bacterial small subunit ribosomal RNA", at positions 524 to 776 of the family's 1533-position model. The record is from RNAcentral.
UACGUAGGGUGCGAGCGUUAAUCGGAAUUACUGGGCGUAAAGCGUGCGCAGGCGGUUAUUUAAGUCAGGUGUGAAAGCCCUGGGCUUAACCUAGGAAUUGCGCUUGAGACUGGAUAGCUUGGAGUGCGGCAGAGGGAGGUGGAAUUCCACGCGUAGCAGUGAAAUGCGUAGAGAUGUGGAGGAACACCGAUGGCGAAGGCAGCCUCCUGGGCCAGCACUGACGCUCAUGCACGAAAGCGUGGGGAGCAAACAGG